GGCUAGSAGGCAUUUCCCCUUGCCAWKUCGRGCGGAGACGGGMAGCUUGCUCCUUGAUUCAGCGGCGGACGGGUGAGUAAUGCCUWGGAAUCUGCCUGGUAGUGGGGGACAACGUUUCGAAAGGAMCGCUAAUACCGCAUACGUCCUACGGGAGAAAGCAGGGGACCUUCGGGCCUUGCGCUAUCAGAUGARCCUAGGUCGGAUUAGCUAGUUGGUGAGGUAAUGGCUCACCAAGGCGACGAUCCGUAACUGGUCUGAGAGGAUGAUCAGUCACACUGGAACUGAGACACGGUCCAGACUCCUACGGGAGGCAGCAGUGGGGAAUAUUGGACAAUGGGCGAAAGCCUGAUCCAGCCAUGCCGCGUGUGUGAAGAAGGUCUUCGGAUUGUAAAGCACUUUAAGUUGGGAGGAAGGGCAGUAAGUUAAUACCUUGCUGUUUUGACGUUACCGACAGAAUAAGCACCGGCUAACUCUGUGCCAGCAGCCGCGGUAAUACAGAGGGUGCAAGCGUUAAUCGGAAUUACUGGGCGUAAAGCGCGCGUAGGUGGUUCGUUAAGUUGGAUGUGAAAGCCCCGGGCUCAACCUGGGAACUGCAUCCAAAACUGGCGAGCUAGAGUAUGGUAGAGGGUGGUGGAAUUUCCUGUGUAGCGGUGAAAUGCGUAGAUAUAGGAAGGAACACCAGUGGCGAAGGCGACCACCUGGACUGAUACUGACACUGAGGUGCGAAAGCGUGGYRYSAYMAAACAGGAUUUAGAUACCCUGGUAGUYCCACGCCCGUAAACGAUGUCAACUAGCCGUUGGAAAUCCUUGAGAUUUUAGUGGCGCAGCUUAACGCAUUAUMGUUSGACCGCCUGGGGAGUUACGGYCGKCKAGGAUCACAAUCUCAAAUKCAAUUUGAACGGGGUGCGCKCKRSUMACCWAGARGCG
RNAcentral lists this ribosomal RNA (927 nucleotides) under endophytic bacterium. Its description in RNAcentral is "partial 16S ribosomal RNA". The record is from RNAcentral.